AGCCGCCUCCCAUACUGGUGAUGACCAUAUGCAGCCAAUGUUGAUGUGAACCUGAGUGAUGAACAAAUGCAGACCUGCAAAGGAGCUGUUCUGAGGCACCAUGCUUACUCAAGUCAUGCAGCGAGAGUCAGCAUGCCUGGAAAAGUACUUCAAAGCACACCCCAUCUGGCUGACUGCACUACCUCAAGAAAAAUGCCUUUCUCCCAUCUGCAAGUUUCUAAGAAGUUACUUUAUGAAGCAAGCCAGCAGGGGGUACGUGUUAG
Long non-coding RNA from Rhipicephalus sanguineus (brown dog tick), 263 nucleotides. RefSeq lists it as uncharacterized. Lineage: Eukaryota; Metazoa; Arthropoda; Arachnida; Ixodida; Ixodidae. The record is from RefSeq and is a predicted model, not a curated record. The transcript is spliced from 3 exons.